GACGAACGCUGGCGGCGUGCUUAACACAUGCAAGUCGAACGGAAGGGCCCUGCUUUUGUGGGGUGCUCGAGUGGCGAACGGGUGAGUAACACGUGAGUAACCUGCCCUUGACUUUGGGAUAACUUCAGGAAACUGGGGCUAAUACCGGAUAGGAGCUCCUGCUGCAUGGUGGGGGUUGGAAAGUUUCGGCGGUUGGGGAUGGACUCGCGGCUUAUCAGCUUGUUGGUGGGGUAGUGGCUUACCAAGGCUUUGACGGGUAGCCGGCCUGAGAGGUGACCGGCCACAUUGGGACUGAGAUACGGCCCAGACUCCUACGGGAGGCAGCAGUGGGGAAUAUUGCACAAUGGGCGGAAGCCUGAUGCAGCAACGCCGCGUGCGGGAUGACGGCCUUCGGGUUGUAAACCGCUUUCGCCUGUGACGAAGCGUGAGUGACGGUAAUGGGUAAAGAAGCACCGGCUAACUACGUG
Molecule: ribosomal RNA, 467 nt
Filed under: uncultured bacterium
Lineage: Bacteria
Description: partial 16S ribosomal RNA
Rfam family: Bacterial small subunit ribosomal RNA
Source: RNAcentral